RNAcentral lists this ribosomal RNA (459 nucleotides) under uncultured bacterium. Its description in RNAcentral is "bacterial SSU rRNA". It matches the Rfam family "Bacterial small subunit ribosomal RNA", at positions 43 to 524 of the family's 1533-position model. The record is from RNAcentral.
CAGGCCUAACACAUGCAAGUCGAACGCCCCGCAAGGGGAGUGGCAGACGGGUGAGUAACACGUGGGAACGUACCCUUUGGUUCGGAACAACCCUCGGUAAACUAGGGCUAAUACCGGAUACGCGCGAGACGCGGAAAGGUUUACCGCCGAAGGAUCGGCCCGCGUCUGAUUAGCUAGUUGGUGAGGUAACGGCUCACCAAUGCGACGAUCAGUAGCUGGUCUGAUAGGAUGAUCAGCCACACUGGGACUGAGACACGGCCCAGACUCCUACGGGAGGCAGCAGUGGGGAAUCUUGCGCAAUGGGCGAUAGCCUGACGCAGCGACGCCGCGUGAGUGAUGAAGGCCUUCGGGUUGUAGAGCUCUGUGGGGAGGGACGAAUAAGUGCUGGCUAAUAUCCACCGCGAUGACGGUACCUCUUUAUCAAGCACCGGCUAGCUCUGUGCCAGCAGCCGCGGUAAU